GGAGCGCCACCAUUACAAAAAGUAGGCUCCUAAUUCCUAAUCCCACCCCGACAGAACACACAACAGAGAAGAACAUCGCAAUCGCCGUAGUGGGCACCGACCGGCCCAUCGAGUGGCCCACAGCGUGCGACGAAAGAGAGAGAGAUAAAAGAAAACCGUGGUGUGCUAAUAGAAGAUGUGGGUGUGGAUAGAAAAGAAAGUAAAAUGGAGCCAAAUGGAAGUCACUACCAUACUAUAAUGCCGAGCCUGAGCCGCCCUCUGUAGGCUGUAUUGUAUUCCCAGUUUGAUCAACGUGCGACCCACUUCGCCAAAAAGCUACCUCUUCAAAACCCUCUUUAUACAACUUUCCAGUUACAGUGGAGGCAAGGAAGCAAUAUCACAGCAAGAAGGGGAAGCAUCAGAAGCAAAAGGGUGCUGGAAAUGGCAGUGCUUCAGCACCAGCUCCAUUUCCUGAUUACAAUCAAACUCAGUCCACCAUUUUCAACAUCUUGUCGUUUGGAGCAAAGGGAAAUGGAGUUUCUGAUGAUUCCAAGGCACUUAUAUCAGCAUGGAAAGCUGCAUGCCAGAUUCCUGGAGCUACGUUGCAGAUCCCAUCAGAAUACAGGUUUCUAAUCAAACCCAUAACUCUAAAUGGCCCUUGUAUGCCUCAGCUAGUUCUUCAGAUUGAUGGAGCUGUGUUGGCGCCUCCAAAAGUAAGUUCGUGGCCAAAAUCCAGCUUGUUUCAAUGGCUGAAUUUCAAAUGGCUACAUAACUUCACCAUUCAAGGCUCUGGUACUGUGGAUGGCCAGGGCUUUAAUUGGUGGACACUCUCCGGAUUCUAUAAUAACAAA
Non-coding RNA from Momordica charantia (bitter melon), 830 nucleotides. The record is from RefSeq and is a predicted model, not a curated record. Lineage: Eukaryota; Viridiplantae; Streptophyta; Magnoliopsida; Cucurbitales; Cucurbitaceae.